Molecule: ribosomal RNA, 1440 nt
Filed under: uncultured organism
Description: SSU rRNA
Rfam family: Bacterial small subunit ribosomal RNA
Source: RNAcentral
GCUAGCUACAGGCUUAACACAUGCAAGUCGAGGGGCAUCAGGAAGAAAGCUUGCUUUCUUUGCUGGCGACCGGCGCACGGGUGAGUAACACGUAUCCAACCUGCCCUUUACUCGGGGAUAGCCUUUCGAAAGAAAGAUUAAUACCCGAUGGCAUAAUGAUUCCGCAUGGUUUCAUUAUUAAAGGAUUCCGGUAAAGGAUGGGGAUGCGUUCCAUUAGGUUGUUGGUGAGGUAACGGCUCACCAUGCCUUCGAUGGAUAGGGGUUCUGAGAGGAAGGUCCCCCACAUUGGAACUGAGACACGGUCCAAACUCCUACGGGAGGCAGCAGUGAGGAAUAUUGGUCAAUGGGCGCUAGCCUGAACCAGCCAAGUAGCGUGAAGGAUGAAGGCUCUAUGGGUCGUAAACUUCUUUUAUAUAAGAAUAAAGUGCAGUAUGUAUACUGUUUUGUAUGUAUUAUAUGAAUAAGGAUCGGCUAACUCCGUGCCAGCAGCCGCGGUAAUACGGAGGAUCCGAGCGUUAUCCGGAUUUAUUGGGUUUAAAGGGAGCGUAGGUGGACUGGUAAGUCAGUUGUGAAAGUUUGCGGCUCAACCGUAAAAUUGCAGUUGAUACUGUCAGUCUUGAGUACAGUAGAGGUGGGCGGAAUUCGUGGUGUAGCGGUGAAAUGCUUAGAUAUCACGAAGAACUCCGAUUGCGAAGGCAGCUCACUGGACUGCAACUGACACUGAUGCUCGAAAGUGUGGGGUAUCAAACAGGAUUAGAUACCCUGGUAGUCCACACAGUAAACGAUGAAUACUCGCUGUUUGCGAUAUACAGUAAGCGGCCAAGCGAAAGCAUUAAGUAUUCCACCUGGGGAGUACGCCGGCAACGGUGAAACUCAAAGGAAUUGACGGGGGCCCGCACAAGCGGAGGAACAUGUGGUUUAAUUCGAUGAUACGCGAGGAACCUUACCCGGGCUUAAAUUGCAGUGGAAUGAUGUGGAAACAUGUCAGUGAGCAAUCACCGCUGUGAAGGUGCUGCAUGGUUGUCGUCAGCUCGUGCCGUGAGGCGUCGGCUUAAGUGCCAUAACGAGCGCAACCCUUAUCUUUAGUUACUAACAGGUCAUGCUGAGGACUCUAGAGAGACUGCCGUCGUAAGAUGUGAGGAAGGUGGGGAUGACGUCAAAUCAGCACGGCCCUUACGUCCGGGGCUACACACGUGUUACAAUGGGGGGUACAGAAGGCAGCUAGCGGGUGACCGUAUGCUAAUCCCAAAAGCCUCUCUCAGUUCGGAUCGAAGUCUGCAACCCGACUUCGUGAAGCUGGAUUCGCUAGUAAUCGCGCAUCAGCCACGGCGCGGUGAAUACGUUCCCGGGCCUUGUACACACCGCCCGUCAAGCCAUGGGAGCCGGGGGUACCUGAAGUACGUAACCGCAAGGAUCGUCCUAGGGUAAAACUGGUGACUG